RNAcentral lists this ribosomal RNA (437 nucleotides) under uncultured Prevotella sp. Its description in RNAcentral is "bacterial SSU rRNA". It matches the Rfam family "Bacterial small subunit ribosomal RNA", at positions 354 to 788 of the family's 1533-position model. The record is from RNAcentral. Lineage: Bacteria; Pseudomonadati; Bacteroidota; Bacteroidia; Bacteroidales; Prevotellaceae.
UGAGGGAAUAUUGGGUCAAUGGGCGAGAGCCUGAACCAGCCAAGUAGCGUGAGGGAUGACUGCCCUAUGGGUUGUAAACCUCUUUUGAUUGGGAACAAAGAGCGCCACGUGUGGUGCGUUGCGUGUACCUUUCGAAUAAGCAUCGGCUAAUUCCGUGCCAGCAGCCGCGGUAAUACGGAAGAUGCGAGCGUUAUCCGGAUUUAUUGGGUUUAAAGGGAGCGUAGGCGGGCUGUUAAGUCAGCGGUCAAAUGUCAGGGCCCAACCUUGGCAUGCCGUUGAUACUGGCGGCCUUGAGUGUAUUCGAUGUCAGCGGAAUUUGUGGUGUAGCGGUGAAAUGCUUAGAUAUCACGAAGAACUCCGAUUGCGAAGGCAGCUGACAAGGCUACAACUGACGCUAAAGCUCGAAAGUGCGGGUAUCGAACAGGAUUAGAUACCCU